Populus euphratica (Euphrates poplar) is the source of this 905-nucleotide long non-coding RNA. RefSeq lists it as uncharacterized. The transcript is spliced from 2 exons. Lineage: Eukaryota; Viridiplantae; Streptophyta; Magnoliopsida; Malpighiales; Salicaceae. The record is from RefSeq and is a predicted model, not a curated record.
AUGAAUAAGAGUCCAAUUGCAAAUCAUCAGAAAUUCAGGGGCCAAUUGAAAUUCGCCAUAUCAGUUAAGGAACGAAACGGCCCAUUUUCAAAGAACACUAUUCAUCUACUUCGACUCAUCAGGCUAGGAAAACGGUCGCCUCGCCUGCCAGCUCGCCUCCACGAUGCGUCCCCAGCCAUUACUCCUGCAGAAAAAGUCCUACAAGGUCGCCUCAUUAUCUGGAGGCGACCGCAUGGCAUCCUCUGGCAUUAUAAAAGCCAGAGGAAGGGCCACGAACAUGGAGAGAGAAAAAAUUAAAGAACCAGAAGAGAGAGACGAAAGAGAAGGAACAAACACGAGAACAGGAGACCAGAAACCAGAGGACAGAGAGAGCGGAAAAGAAAAAAAAAACUGAGGGACGAACGAGAGGAGAAAACACAGAGAAGAUACAGAGAGGGGAGAGAACACGAAAAAAACCAGCAGAGAGAGAAGGGGACAAAGCGGAAAACACAGCAAAUAAAAAGAACAGAAAAGAAAGACGACAGGGCAGAAGAAGAGAGGAGGGAAUUUCAGAAUCCCAGAAAAAGUCCGCAGCGUCUUCGUCCAGAACGUCCCACAGCAAGCGUGCGUGAACAAGCUAAUGAGGCGCGGAGGAAACCACCAACAACAGUCCAGCAAUGGCAGGACUGUCGGUGUCCCAAUCCAACCAAGAUACGGAGUCUCAAGUUCUAUGUACACAUGAAGAUCAGUGUCCGGGGGAAGAUAAGGAUCAGUUUUGCGCACGAAAAGCCUAUAAAAGGCAGAGGACGCAACGAAUCCCGAGGAGGAAGAGAGAACAAAAAAAAAAGAAAAAAGAGGAAGAAGAAAGCGAAAUAGAAAAGAGACAGGGAGAAGUGACUAGAGGAGCAGGAACGGAGAGAACAAAA